UCUACAUUGAAGAUGUUUUUUCAUCACCUCCUGUUAAAUGUAUAAAAUCAUUGUAUAUAGUUCAAUGAAAAGCGCAAGAAACGGACCCCUGCCAGAGACCCGCAGAGACGGAAACGGAGCCAUUCCUGAAGUAAAAAAAACGGGUUGUUACACGUUACGCAACUGGCAAACGAUGACCACGGAUAUAGUUUUCAGUUAAAUAGAGCAGGCAAUUGUGUUUUGAAAUAGCGAUUACUUCCACCACCGGUAAACAACGAUGUUUCAUGAUCUAUGUCACGGGCUACAUCAAAGUAGCAGUAGCACAGGAAGUCACCGAUCGAAGAAUAUCCAGUCAAAUCGAAAGCUAGCUGACCUACCGGGCGCUAAAAUGGGUAAGGUCAUGGCUUAUUUCCUGGUGGAAGCUUCUGGUUACCUAGAUACUAGAGAAGUAAAAGCGACUAGCAUUCCAAAGGAACUUGAAUCGACGUUACGAAUCUCACAGAGGGCAUUGAGAGUGCUCAAACAACAGCUGAUACGAGGAAGGAGGUGUUUG
Ochlerotatus camptorhynchus is the source of this 532-nucleotide long non-coding RNA. RefSeq lists it as uncharacterized. The record is from RefSeq and is a predicted model, not a curated record. The transcript has 3 exons. NCBI's taxonomy places the organism in Eukaryota, Metazoa, Arthropoda, Insecta, Diptera, Culicidae.